UGAGUAACACGUAUAGCAACCUACCUUUAACAGGGGAAUAACCCGUUGAAAAACGGACUAAUACUCCAUAACACAGGGGUCCCGCAUGGGAAUAUUUGUUAAAGAUUUAUCGGUUGAAGAUGGGCAUGCGUUCCAUUAGCUGUUGGUGAGGUAACGGCUCACCAAGGCUACGAUGGAUAGGGGAACUGAGAGGUUUAUCCCCCACACUGGAACUGAGACACGGUCCAGACUCCUACGGGAGGCAGCAGUGAGGAAUAUUGGUCAAUGGAGGCAACUCUGAACCAGCCAAGUCGCGUGAAGGAUGAAGGUCUUAUGGAUUGUAAACUUCUUUUUCAAGGGAAUAAAGUGGGGGACGUGUCCUCCUUUGCAUGUACCUUGCGAAUAAGGAUCGGCUAACUCCGUGCCAGCCGCCGC
This 414-nucleotide ribosomal RNA is filed under the name uncultured bacterium. RNAcentral's name for it is "bacterial SSU rRNA". It matches the Rfam family "Bacterial small subunit ribosomal RNA", at positions 107 to 518 of the family's 1533-position model. The record is from RNAcentral.